CCUACGGGUGGCUGCAGUCGAGAAUCAUUCACAAUGGGGGAAACCCUGAUGGUGCGACGCCGCGUGGGGGAAUGAAGGUCUUCGGAUUGUAAACCCCUGUCAUGUGGGAGCAAAUUAAAAAGAUAGUACCACAAGAGGAAGAGACGGCUAACUCUGUGCCAGCAGCCGCGGUAAUACAGAGGUCUCAAGCGUUGUUCGGAAUCACUGGGCGUAAAGCGUGCGUAGGCUGUUUCGUAAGUCGUGUGUGAAAGGCGCGGGCUCAACCCGCGGACGGCACAUGAUACUGCGGGACUAGAGUAAAGGAGGGGGAACCGGAAUUCUCGGUGUAGCAGUGAAAUGCGUAGAUAUCGAGAGGAACACUCGUGGCGAAGGCGGGUGUCUGGACAUUAACUGACGCUGAGGCACGAAGGCCAGGGGAGCGAAAGGGAUUAGAUACCCGUGUAGUC
This 446-nucleotide ribosomal RNA is filed under the name uncultured bacterium. Its description in RNAcentral is "partial 16S ribosomal RNA". It matches the Rfam family "Bacterial small subunit ribosomal RNA", at positions 338 to 795 of the family's 1533-position model. The record is from RNAcentral.